Molecule: long non-coding RNA, 2549 nt
Organism: Brassica napus (rape)
Lineage: Eukaryota; Viridiplantae; Streptophyta; Magnoliopsida; Brassicales; Brassicaceae
Exons: 3
Source: RefSeq, a predicted model, not a curated record
UAAAACUUCUAUCAUAUGAGGAUAAUACCAUGAAAGUUUUUGUUACUCUUGAUAGUUGAUACAUUGCAAGGCUUAUCUCCCAAAAUAUUAAGUUAGUAUAUAUUAAAAGUCAUGAUCGCACUUGCUUUGCUUGGGCUAAAUUUAGUUUAUCAAUCUACAUAUGAUGAUGAAUUGAAAACUCAAGAAAGUCACCAAUAAUGCAUCGGAAAGAUUUUAGAGUUUGAGAAGAUUAAAGUAUUAUUGAAAAGCAUACCGACCGACAACUAAUACCCAUGGGCAUAGACUGACAGAGCCAGGCCAAAACAUUAUUACAACUAUCAAUAUAAUAAAAUUUAGAGUCUGCUGGAUGUGAAACGUUCUAUAAAUAAUUACUGCUAAUGUUAUAUACUUUUGUUUUCAUUCUGUUUUUUUAAUUGGAUAUUUUUGUAGCAAAAAACACAAGAGUAUAAUAGUUCAUAUUGUAUCAUUUUGUGCUAUUAUCCGAGUUUAAACCGACAAUGCACACUGAAGAAAAAACGAAUCUUGUUUAUUGUUGGACCUUUGGGACGUCGCUCUCCAUCCCCACUAAACCUCCCCUGCUUUUAUUGUACCGAGUUUUAGAGGUAUACAUGGAUUUUUUUGGUUGUGUCAAGUUAUAACAAGGAUAGUGAUAAGACAGACUAAAACAUCACCUCAUAUACUGAGUAACUUGGAUUCCAAUGGAGGAAGAGAGAAGAAGCGAAGAAGAAAGAUCUCAUCUUUGGGGUCCUUUCCAAUUCUGUAACGAAGCUCUCAAGAGUUUCCUAAAGUGUCUUGGUCUUUAUACCUCUCCUUCGAAUCCUUCGGCAUCUUCGGUUCAGGAGGAUGCCGUGACGACAAGGGGAAUUUUAGUCGGAUCAAAGAAAAGGCCGAGAGAGCCACAUAGCUCUGGAAAGCCAGGCGGCCACAGCUAAAUUAAGAACAUUUGAUUUGUUGUUUUGCUAUCUAUCAGCCAUAAAAGGCUAAAAGCCACGCGGAGAAAACAGAUUACUAGUUGCAUGCAAUGUUUCACGUUUAUCAUACACAUCGUUUUAUGUAUAUUUUUGGCUAAUAAUGAUUUCAUAUCAUGAAGUUCCAUAAAGUCUUAAAAUUAUUCAAAACAUAAAGGCUUUUGUUUUUCAGACGAUAGUGGACGGUGACCAAAUGGUACGGAAAAUAAUGUAUCUCUGGUUAAUAUUAAAAUAUGGUUUAAUAUAAAAAUAUAUCCUUUUGUUCCAUUAUAUUGAGAUUUUUGGUAAAAUCUUGAAACUUAAGAAAACAGAUAAAAUUAUAUAUUUUAUUUUAACAUGAAAACCACAUUUAGUGUUUUAUAAAAAAUAGUCGAACAAUCAUAAAUUAGUGUAAAAUAUAAACAAAUUUGAUAGAAUAAAGAAAAAUGGAAAUAUACAUAGAAACAAUAAAGUAAAAUCGUCAGAACAGGCUAUCUAUAAAACUUAAUUUAAAAUUUGUAGACAAGAUAUUAAUUUAAAAUUUGAUCAGAAUAUAUUCCAAGCUCACAACUUAAUUAGUUAAGGAUUUUUGUUUUACCAGCAAACUGAUGUAAAAGUCCGUGCAAUGCUUCCCUUGUACUAGCUUUUACUAAUUUUAUUGAGAACAGAAAGUCGAUCAAAGAAAAUCAGUCACAUAUUCAGAUAAACACGAAAAUCAGAUGAUUCCUUCUUUUUUUUUAUUCACUGGUCCAAUGUCCGUUGACCUAUCACUAGGGAGAGGGACACUAAAGUUCCAGGUAAAGCAUAUAUCACCAGAUUCACCACCGGUAAUUUUAACAGAAUAAGAUACUGUAUACUUCUAUUACUUCACGUAUUCUGAUCGACUACGAUAUAUGAAUUCAACGAAUAUACUUUUUGAUAUUUCCUAGCAUCGCUAAUCUGAACAAACGAAUGCGUGUCAAAUCUUAAAUAAAUACAACUAAUUGCAAACGGGAAACAUGCAAUGAUAUUUUCAUCAAAAAAAAUCAUGCAAUGAUAGGAAUAUAUGCGACCGAUGAGCUGUUACACUUAAAUAAAUUAUAUAAAUAUAUUUUUAUAGUAAUCAACGUAAACGCUCAAAGUUGACCAAGAUCAAUGAUGAGUGACUUGAACUCUAUAUUAAUGAUCUGAUUAGUCUCUUCUAAGCACACAAUUAGAAGAAAGAAAGAAGAGAUGGAGAGCAAAGGAAGAACAGAAAGUGGAGUUUUUUCUUACGUCUACAUCCCUUUUAGUUUCAUCCACGAGAUUCUACAAUCUCUCUUCGUUAAGUUUCUCGGUAUAAGAUCACCUCCCAGUAAUUUUCCGAUAUCGGAAGAAGAGGAAGUGACAGAGGUUGUGGAAGUGACGUCCAGAAAAUCGCAUCUGGAAUAUAGUUCCGGCAAGCCUGGAGGUACCAACAUGUCUCGUGGCUAAUGUGUUCUAUUCCGGCGUGUCGUCCAUGUGAAACAAAGUCAAAGUCAAGUUAAUAAUGUACGGAGAAAAUCUCGUACUUUUAUGUUUCAUUAUUGUAUAUUUGUUUAUAAUUUUUUUGUUGUGUUGUGUGUAUUAUAUAUGAUUCUUGGA